CCGACUGCUGUGGAUUCGGUACCGAUUGUUGAGAUUUCGCAACGAAAGCGUCGAAUCGGAUUUUUACCAUAAAUCCAUUUUCUCAGUAGAACCUGAUAUAAUCAUAAAAAAGAAAAAUAUAUAGGUAAAAUAAGAUUCAAUAAAUAAGAAAAAAUUACACAUGACUCCUCUUCUAUACAGAGUAGCUACAACCCGAGCCCUCUUUCUGAAUCUCUUCUAUCAUUCUCUCGUCUUCUAUAAAUCUACAAAGAAGACAACUCUCUUUCUCUCCAU
This 273-nucleotide long non-coding RNA is filed under the name Ananas comosus (pineapple). RNAcentral describes it as "long non-coding RNA (ACOM_LNC016277)". The record is from RNAcentral. Lineage: Eukaryota; Viridiplantae; Streptophyta; Magnoliopsida; Poales; Bromeliaceae.